UGUAAGCGUAUACCAAAGUUGUUGCAGUUAAAACGCUCGUAGUCGGAAUUUGGCAGUUCCGGAUGUGUGCACGUCGUGUGCGCACUUCGCGGGGAUUGCUUUUGUGGUCUUGCGUAGGAUGAGGCACUUUUAUUAGUGAACGUCCUCACGCAACCACUUUUUACUGUGAGAAAAUCAGAGUGCUCAAAGCAGGCAUUUGCCGCGAAUGUAUUAGCAUGGAAUAAUAGAAUAGGACUUGGUUCUAUUUUGUUGGUUUGUUGGGACUGAGUAAUGAUUAAGAGGGACAGUUGGGGGCAUUUGUAUUUCGGUGCUAGAGGUGAAAUUCUUAGAUUACCGAAAGACAAACUGCUGCGAAAGCGUCUGCCAAGGAUGUUUUCAUUGA
Molecule: ribosomal RNA, 382 nt
Filed under: uncultured eukaryote
Lineage: Eukaryota
Description: partial 18S ribosomal RNA
Rfam family: Eukaryotic small subunit ribosomal RNA
Source: RNAcentral